GACGGAGGAUGCAAGCGUUAUCCGGAAUUAUUGGGCGUAAAGCGUCCGCAGGUGGCACCUCAAGUCUGCUGUCAAAGACCGGGGCUUAACCCCAGAAAGGCAGUGGAAACUGAAGCGCUAGAGUGCAGUAGGGGUAGAGGGAAUUCCCGGUGUAGCGGUGAAAUGCGUAGAGAUCGGGAAGAACAUCGGUGGCGAAAGCGCUCUGCUGGACUGCAACUGACACUCAGGGACGAAAGCUAGGGGAGCGAAUGGG
Molecule: ribosomal RNA, 253 nt
Filed under: uncultured bacterium
Lineage: Bacteria
Description: partial 16S ribosomal RNA
Rfam family: Bacterial small subunit ribosomal RNA
Source: RNAcentral